This 497-nucleotide ribosomal RNA is filed under the name uncultured bacterium. RNAcentral describes it as "partial 16S ribosomal RNA". It matches the Rfam family "Bacterial small subunit ribosomal RNA", at positions 28 to 507 of the family's 1533-position model. The record is from RNAcentral.
GAUGAACGCUGGCGGCGUGCCUAAUACAUGCCAGUCGAGCGAACGGACGAGAGGCUUGCUUCUCUGAUGUUAGCGGCGGACGGGUGAGUAACACGUGGAUAACCUACCUAUAAGACUGGGAUAACUUCGGGAAACCGUAGCUAAUACCGGAUAAUAUUUUGAACCGCAUGGUUCAAAAGUGAAAGACGGUCUUGCUGUCACUUAUAGAUGGAUCCGCGCUGCAUUAGCUAGUUGGUAAGGUAACGGCUUACCAAGGCAACGAUGCAUAGCCGACCUGAGAGGGUGAUCGGCCACACUGGAACUGAGACACGGUCCAGACUCCUACGGGAGGCAGCAGUAGGGAAUCUUCCGCAAUGGGCGAAAGCCUGACGGAGCAACGCCGCGUGAGUGAUGAAGGUCUUCGGAUCGUAAAACUCUGUUAUUAGGGAAGAACAUAUGUGUAAGUAACUGUGCACAUCUUGACGGUACCUAAUCAGAAAGCCACGGCUAACUACGUG